Molecule: ribosomal RNA, 465 nt
Filed under: Vreelandella stevensii
Lineage: Bacteria; Pseudomonadati; Pseudomonadota; Gammaproteobacteria; Oceanospirillales; Halomonadaceae
Description: partial 16S ribosomal RNA
Rfam family: Bacterial small subunit ribosomal RNA
Source: RNAcentral
CCUACGGGGAGCAGCAGUGGGGAAUAUUGGACAAUGGGCGAAAGCCUGAUCCAGCCAUGCCGCGUGUGUGAAGAAGGCCUUCGGGUUGUAAAGCACUUUCAGUGGGGAAGAAAGCCUUGGGGCUAAUACCCUCGAGGAAGGACAUCACCCACAGAAGAAGCACCGGCUAACUCCGUGCCAGCAGCCGCGGUAAUACGGAGGGUGCGAGCGUUAAUCGGAAUUACUGGGCGUAAAGCGCGCGUAGGCGGUCUGAUAAGCCGGUUGUGAAAGCCCCGGGCUCAACCUGGGAACGGCAUCCGGAACUGUCAGGCUAGAGUGCAGGAGAGGAAGGUAGAAUUCCCGGUGUAGCGGUGAAAUGCGUAGAGAUUGGGAGGAAUACCAGUGGCGAAGGCGGCCUUCUGGACUGACACUGACGCUGAGGUGCGAAAGCGUGGGUAGCAAACAGGAUUAGAUACCCGUGUAGUC